GCCUAUAUUGAGAUAUCAAAAGUUUAGAAUACUUAUGAAACAAGGUUUUAGCAGCCCCUCUACAAUUCCAUAUGAGGAUCUUCAUCAUUUUAAAGGUGAAGACAGUUGAUCUUUAUCCUCACUUCGAGAACCCAUAGAAAAAGAAGACUCAGCCUUGGCAUCCCCAGCAGACAUAGGACAUUGUGAAUUUAAAGCCUACGACACCUGAUGGACCAGUUCAUCAUGUUCAACUGGACUUGGAUUUAUUUUUAUCUGAUCAGCAUCCAGUCGACUAGGUAUGAA
Molecule: long non-coding RNA, 282 nt
Filed under: Elaeis guineensis (African oil palm)
Lineage: Eukaryota; Viridiplantae; Streptophyta; Magnoliopsida; Arecales; Arecaceae
Description: long non-coding RNA (EGUI_LNC022810)
Source: RNAcentral